Molecule: long non-coding RNA, 620 nt
Organism: Electrophorus electricus (electric eel)
Lineage: Eukaryota; Metazoa; Chordata; Actinopteri; Gymnotiformes; Gymnotidae
Source: RefSeq, a predicted model, not a curated record
CCGAGUUUAGCCGUUAACAUGAACUAACCUGCUACUUUAGCGAACACACUUAGCUAGGUAGCCUGCUUGUCCACCUUCUCCUAGUUAAGCUACUUUUUAAGCUACUUUUAAGCUGUUUUUAUUGUUUUUAUUAGACCAUGUCGGGAAGGAGAAAAGAUACAGUUUCAGACGAAAAAUGAUGAACAAUGGGAAGAAACACUCUCAAGACCAGGCUUCUCAAGACUUCUUGAUAGGAUCAAAGCGGCAGGGUUCAUCAUCUCUCAGGUGAAGGAAACUCCUUACAAGAGAAAUGGCAGAGAAAGUUUAUGAAUAUCACAAAGGCAAGAGCUUCUUCAGCGCCUUAGUAGACAACAUGUCACAGUAUGUGAGGCCCAUCUGUCAUGAUGAUUCUGAGCAAGGAGAAUGCCAUUGCUGAGUGGAGAGAGCUAAUGGGGCCUGCUGACUCCGAACUGGCUCAAAAAUGCAGUCCCAGCUCCCUCUGAGCCCAGUUUGCCUUGAGUAUUCUGGAGAAUGCAGUACACGGCUCUUCUGAUGCAAAACAUGCUAUCGAUAAUAUUAAGUUCAUCUUUGGAGAUGUUGCCAAUUAGGGGAUCACAAUAAUAAAAAAGGUUCAAUUUGUC